GACGAACGCUGGCGGCGUGCUUAACACAUGCAAGUCGAACGGAAAGGCCCUGCUUUUGUGGGGUUCUCGAGUGGCGAACGGGUGAGUAACACGUGAGUAACCUGCCCUUGACUUUGGGAUAACUUCAGGAAACUGGGGCUAAUACCGGAUAGGAGCUCCUGCUGCAUGGUGGGGGUUGGAAAGUUUCGGCGGUUGGGGAUGGACUCGCGGCUUAUCAGCUUGUUGGUGGGGUAGUGGCUUACCAAGGCUUUGACGGGUAGCUGGCCUGAGAGGUUGACCGGCCACAUUGGGACUGAGAUACGGCCCAGACUCCUACGGGAGGCAGCAGUGGGGAAUAUUGCACAAUGGGCGGAAGCCUGAUGCAGCAACGCCGCGUGCGGGAUGACGGCCUUCGGGUUGUAAACCGCUUUCGCCUGUGACGAAGCGUGAGUGACGGUAAUGGGUAAAGAAGCACCGGCUAACUACGUG
This 468-nucleotide ribosomal RNA is filed under the name uncultured bacterium. Its description in RNAcentral is "partial 16S ribosomal RNA". It matches the Rfam family "Bacterial small subunit ribosomal RNA", at positions 28 to 507 of the family's 1533-position model. The record is from RNAcentral.